GACGAACGCUGGCGGCGUGCUUAACACAUGCAAGUCGAGCGAGGCCCCUCCUUCGGGAGGGUGUCCUAGCGGCGAACGGGUGAGUAACACGUGGGCAACCUGCCCUCAGCUCUGGGAUAACUCCGGGAAACCGGGGCUAAUACCGGAUACGACCUCCACGGGCAUCUGCGGAGGUGGAAAGUUUUUCGGCUGAGGAUGGGCCCGCGGCCUAUCAGCUAGUUGGUGGGGUAGUGGCCCACCAAGGCGACGACGGGUAGCCGGCCUGAGAGGGCGACCGGCCACACUGGGACUGAGACACGGCCCAGACUCCUACGGGAGGCAGAAGUGGGGAAUAUUGCGCAAUGGGCGAAAGCCUGACGCAGCGACGCCGCGUGAGGGACGAAGGCCUUCGGGUUGUAAACCUCUUUCAGCAGGGACGAAGCGAAAGUGACGGUACCUGCAGAAGAAGCACCGGCCAACUACGUG
RNAcentral lists this ribosomal RNA (465 nucleotides) under uncultured bacterium. RNAcentral describes it as "partial 16S ribosomal RNA". It matches the Rfam family "Bacterial small subunit ribosomal RNA", at positions 28 to 507 of the family's 1533-position model. The record is from RNAcentral.